AAUGAACGCUGGCGGCAGGCCUAACACAUGCAGGUCGAACGGAUCCUUCGGGAUUAGUGGCGGACGGGUGAGUAACGCGUGGGAACAUACCCAAAGGUACGGAAUAGCCGCGGGAGACUGGGAGUAAUACCGUAUGUGGUCGAGAGACGAAAGAUUUAUCGACAAAGGAUUGGCCCGCGUUGGAUUAGGUAGUUGGUGGGGUAAUGGCCUACCAAGCCGACGAUCCAUAGCUGGUUUGCGAGGAGGAUCAGCCACACUGGGACAGAGACACGGCCCAAACGCCUACGGGAGGCAGCAGUGGGGGAUCUUAGACAAUGGGGGAAACCCUUAUCUAGCCAUGCCGCGUGAUCGAUGAAGGCCUUAGGGUUGUAAAGAUCUUUCAGGUGGGAAGAUAAUGACUGUACCACCAGAAGAAGCCCCGGCUAACUCCGUGCCAGCCGCCGCCGUAA
Molecule: ribosomal RNA, 449 nt
Filed under: uncultured bacterium
Lineage: Bacteria
Description: partial 16S ribosomal RNA
Rfam family: Bacterial small subunit ribosomal RNA
Source: RNAcentral